UACAGAGGUGGCAAGCGUUGUUCGGAAUUACUGGGCGUAAAGGGCGCGUAGGCGGCCUUCUAAGUCAGACGUGAAAUCCCCCGGCUUAACCUGGGAACUGCGUCUGAUACUGGGAGGCUUGAGUAUGGGAGAGGGAUGUAGAAUUCCAGGUGUAGCGGUGAAAUGCGUAGAUAUCUGGAGGAAUACCGGUGACGAAGGCGGCAUCCUGGACCAUUACUGACGCUGAGGCGCGAAAGCUAGGGGAGCAAACGGG
RNAcentral lists this ribosomal RNA (253 nucleotides) under uncultured bacterium. RNAcentral's name for it is "partial 16S ribosomal RNA". It matches the Rfam family "Bacterial small subunit ribosomal RNA", at positions 524 to 776 of the family's 1533-position model. The record is from RNAcentral.